GAUCCGGGUUGCGGACAGUGUCUGGUGGGUAGUUUGACUGGGGCGGUCUCCUCCUAAAGAGUAACGGAGGAGCACGAAGGUUGGCUAAUCCUGGUCGGACAUCAGGAGGUUAGUGCAAUGGCAUAAGCCAGCUUGACUGCGAGCGUGACGGCGCGAGCAGGUGCGAAAGCAGGUCAUAGUGAUCCGGUGGUUCUGAAUGGAAGGGCCAUCGCUCAACGGAUAAAAGGUACUCCGGGGAUAACAGGCUGAUACCGCCCAAGAGUUCAUAUCGACGGCGGUGUUUGGCACCUCGAUGUCGGCUCAUCACAUCCUGGGGCUGAAGUAGGUCCCAAGGGUAUGGCUGUUCGCCAUUUAAAGUGGUACGCGAGCUGGGUUUAGAACGUCGUGAGACAGUUCGGUCCCUAUCUGCCGUGGGCGCUGGAGAACUGAGGGGGGCUGCUCCUAGUACGAGAGGACCGGAGUGGACGCAUCACUGGUGUUCGGGUUGUCAUGCCAAUGGCACUGCCCGGUAGCUAAAUGCGGAAGAGAUAAGUGCUGAAAGCAUCUAAGCACGAAACUUGCCCCGAGAUGAGUUCUCCCUGACUCCUUGAGAGUCCUGAAGGAACGUUGAAGACGACGACGUUGAUAGGCCGGGUGUGUAAGCGCAGCGAUGCGUUGAGCUAACCGGUACUAAUGAACCGUGAG
This 684-nucleotide ribosomal RNA is filed under the name Escherichia coli. RNAcentral's name for it is "partial 23S ribosomal RNA". It matches the Rfam family "Bacterial large subunit ribosomal RNA", at positions 2237 to 2915 of the family's 2925-position model. Lineage: Bacteria; Pseudomonadati; Pseudomonadota; Gammaproteobacteria; Enterobacterales; Enterobacteriaceae. The record is from RNAcentral.